RNAcentral lists this transfer-messenger RNA (351 nucleotides) under Firmicutes bacterium HGW-Firmicutes-7. It matches the Rfam family "transfer-messenger RNA". From Rfam's summary of the family: Bacterial tmRNA, also known as 10Sa RNA or SsrA, is named for its dual tRNA and mRNA-like properties. Its role is to liberate the mRNA from a stalled ribosome. Lineage: Bacteria; Bacillati; Bacillota. The record is from RNAcentral. RNAcentral also lists the same sequence under 1 other name.
GGGGGUGUACUGGUUUCGACGGGGACGACUGAAUUUAGAUAAGCCAUUCGCAGACUCCGGGGCUGCGUUAAAACCUGGAACAUUAAAUUUAAACGCAAACAAUAAAUUACAAUUCGCUGCCUAAUGGCAGCUGUCUAACCCUCGCCACUCGCGGCUAGGACAUUAGGCAUCAUCUAAUGCGAGGCACUUUUUUAUCAAAGCUUUGAGAUAAAAAAAGAUUUAUGAAGCUACCAAGAAAUUAAGCCUGUCGAUGGGCGUCUUUUCGAGGGAAUAACAAAGCACCGACUCUAAUGGGAGAAAAUCUAUUGGAAGGGUCUUCGGACAGGGGUUCAAUUCCCCUCACCUCCACUA